UUGAGUGAUGAAGGCCUUAAGGUUGUAAAGCUCUUUCAACCGAGAACGAAGAUGACCGUUACCUGUUAGAAGAAAGCCCCGGCUAACUUCGUGCCAGCAGCCGCGGUAAUACGAAGGGGGGCCAGCGUUGUUCGAAUUACUGGCGUAAAGCGCACGCAGGCGGUGGUCAUAGUCAGAAGUGAAAGCCCUGGGCUCAACCCGGAAAUUGCUUUUGAUACUGGACCGCUAGAAUCACGGAGAGGGUAGGUGGGAAUUCCGAGUGUAGAGGUGAAAAUUCGUAGAUAUUCGGAAGAACACCCAGUGGCGAAGGCGACUACCUGGCCGUCGAUUGACGCUCAUGUGCGAAAAGCGUGGGGAAG
Molecule: ribosomal RNA, 359 nt
Filed under: uncultured bacterium
Lineage: Bacteria
Description: bacterial SSU rRNA
Rfam family: Bacterial small subunit ribosomal RNA
Source: RNAcentral